GAAUCCGGAAGGGGAAAGCGGAAUUCCUGGUGUACCGGUGAAAUGCGUAGAUAUCAGGAGGAACACCAGUGGCGAAGGCGGCUUUCUGGUCCGGAAUUGACGCUGAGGUACUAAAGCGUGGGUAGCAAACAGGAUUAGAUACCCUGGUAGUCCACGCCCUAAACGAUGGAUACUUGAUGUCGGGAUGUUCGGUCGUCUCGGUGUCGUAGCUAACGUGUUAAGUAUCCCGCCUGGGGACUACGGUCGCAAGACUGAAACUCAAAGGAAUUGACGGGGGCCCGCACCAGCGGUGGAACAUGUGGUUUAAUUCGAUGCAACGCGAAGAACCUUACCUGGGCUUGACAUAUAUAUGAAGUAUGUAAGAAAUUAUGUAUUCUGUCUGCAUUUGCAGGUAGCAUAUAUACAGGUGAUGCAUGGCUGUCGUCAGCUCGUGUCGUGAGAUGUAGGGUUAAGUCCCUUAACGAGCGCAACCCUUGCUUUUAGUUGCCAUCAGGUAAUGCUGGGGACUCUAGAAGGACUGCCGAGGUUAACUCGGAGGAAGGUGGGGAUGACGUCAAGUCAGUAUGUCCCUUAUGUCCAGGGCUACACACGUGUUACAAUGGACGGUACAGAGUGCAGCUACGCCGUGAGGCUACGCAAAUCACUUAAAGCCGUUCCCAGUUCGGAUUGGAGUCUGCAAUUCGACUCCAUGAAGUUGGAAUCGCUAGUAAUCGCAGAACAGCAUGCUGCGGUGAUACGUUCCCGGGCCUUGUACACACCGCCCGUCACGCCAUGGAAGUUGGGAGUACCCAAAGUUGCUGUC
RNAcentral lists this ribosomal RNA (802 nucleotides) under uncultured organism. RNAcentral describes it as "bacterial SSU rRNA". It matches the Rfam family "Bacterial small subunit ribosomal RNA", at positions 644 to 1434 of the family's 1533-position model. The record is from RNAcentral.